GUAGUCAAUCUGCCCUAUGGACGUGGAUAACCUCGGGAAACUGAGAAUAAUCCGCGAUAGAUCAUAAUGCCUGGAACGGUUUAUGGUCCAAAUGAUUCGUCGCCAUAGGAUGGGACUGCGGCCUAUCAGCUUGUUGGUGAGGUAAUGGCCCACCAAGGCUAUUACAGGUACGGGCUCUGAGAGGAGAAGCCCGGAGAUGGGUACUGAGACACGGACCCAGGCCCUAUGGGGCGCAGCAGGCGAGAAACCUUUGCAAUGUGCGCAAGCACGACAAGGUUAAUCCGAGUGUUUCCUGCUAAAGGAAUCUUUUGUUAGUUCUAAAACCACUGAUGAAUAAGGGGUGGGCAAGUUCUGGUGUCAGCCGCCGCGGUAAAACCAGCACCUCAAGUGGUCAGGAGGAUUAUUGGGCCUAAAGCAUCCGUAGCCGGUUCUGUAAGUUUCCGGUUAAAUCCACUAGCUCAACUAAUGGGCUGCCGGAAAUACUGCAGAACUAGGGAGUGGGAGAGGUAGACGGUACUCGGGAGGAAGGGGUAAAAUCCUUUGAUCUCUUGAUGACCACCUGUGGCGAAGGCGGUCUACCAGAACACGUUCGACGGUGAGGGAUGAAAGCUGGGGGAGCAAACCGGAUUAGAUACCCGGGUAGUCCCAGCUGUAAACGAUGCAGACUCGGUGAUGCACUGGCUUUUGGCCAGUGCAGUGCCGCAGGGAAGCCGUUAAGUUUGCCGCCUGGGAAGUACGUACGCAAGUAUGAAAACUUAA
RNAcentral lists this ribosomal RNA (759 nucleotides) under uncultured archaeon. RNAcentral's name for it is "bacterial SSU rRNA". It matches the Rfam family "Archaeal small subunit ribosomal RNA", at positions 100 to 859 of the family's 1478-position model. The record is from RNAcentral.